Regulatory RNA element from Cetobacterium somerae ATCC BAA-474, 98 nucleotides. It matches the Rfam family "Purine riboswitch aptamer". From Rfam's summary of the family: Riboswitches are metabolite binding domains within certain messenger RNAs that serve as precision sensors for their corresponding targets. Allosteric rearrangement of mRNA structure is mediated by ligand binding, and this results in modulation of gene expression. NCBI's taxonomy places the organism in Bacteria, Fusobacteriati, Fusobacteriota, Fusobacteriia, Fusobacteriales, Fusobacteriaceae. The record is from Rfam.
UUUUAGAAAAAUUAUAAAACUUAUAUAUAUUUGGGAUAUGGCCAAAAGUUUCUACACCAAACCGUAAAUUUGGUACUAUAGGUAAAAGUUGACUUAAA